Ribosomal RNA from Danio rerio (zebrafish), 117 nucleotides. NCBI's taxonomy places the organism in Eukaryota, Metazoa, Chordata, Actinopteri, Cypriniformes, Danionidae. The record is from Ensembl.
UGCCACAGCCGUAUCACCCUGCUGCUCAACACUGGUUGCUCACUGAAGCUAAGCAGGCCUGAGCCUGGUCUUUAGCUGGAUGGGAGACCACAUAAGAAAACUAGGUUGCUAUUGGAA